Molecule: ribosomal RNA, 274 nt
Filed under: uncultured bacterium
Lineage: Bacteria
Description: partial 16S ribosomal RNA
Rfam family: Bacterial small subunit ribosomal RNA
Source: RNAcentral
CUACGGAGGGUGCAAGCGUUACUCGGAAUCACUGGGCGUAAAGCGCGCGCAGGCGGCUUGAUAAGUUGGAUGUGAAAGCCUACGGCUCAACCGUAGAACUGCAUCCAAAACUGUCAGGCUAGAGUCUGGGAGGGGAAGAUGGAAUUAGUUGUGUAGGGGUAAAAUCCGUAGAGAUAACUAGGAAUACCAAAAGCGAAGGCGAUCUUCUGGAACAGUACUGACGCUGAGGCGCGAAAGCGUGGGGAGCAAACAGGAUUAGAUACCCCAGUAGUCC